GACGAACGCUGGCGGCGUGCUUAACACAUGCAAGUCGAACGGAAAGGCCCUGCUAUUGUGGGGUGCUCGAGUGGCGAACGGGUGAGUAACACGUGAGUAACCUGCCCUUGACUUUGGGAGAACUUCAGGAAACUGGGGCUAAUACCGGAUAGGAGCUCCUGCUGCAUGGUGGGGGUUGGAAAGUUUUGGCGGUUGGGGAUGGACUCGCGGCUUAUCAGCUUGUUGGUGGGGUAGUGGCUUACCAAGGCUUUGACGGGUAGCAGGCGUGAGAGGGUGGCCGGCCACAUUGCGACUGAGAUACGGCCCAGACUCCUACGGGAGGCAGAAGUGGGGAAUCUUGAACAAUGGGAGGAAGCCUGAUGCAGCAACGCCGCGUGCGGGAUGCCGGCCUUCGGGUUGUACACCGCUUUCGCCUGUGACGAAGCGUGAGUGACGGUAAUGGGUAAAGAAGCACCGGCUAACUACGUG
Molecule: ribosomal RNA, 468 nt
Filed under: uncultured bacterium
Lineage: Bacteria
Description: partial 16S ribosomal RNA
Rfam family: Bacterial small subunit ribosomal RNA
Source: RNAcentral